This 492-nucleotide ribosomal RNA is filed under the name uncultured bacterium. RNAcentral's name for it is "partial 16S ribosomal RNA". It matches the Rfam family "Bacterial small subunit ribosomal RNA", at positions 29 to 507 of the family's 1533-position model. The record is from RNAcentral.
AGUGAACGCUGGCGGUAGGCCUAACACUUGCAAGUCGAACGGGAGCACAGUAAGAGCUUGCUCUUACGGGUGGCGAGUGGCGGACGGGUGCGGAAUACAUCGGAAUCUACUUUUUCGUGGGGGAUAAAGUAGGGGAACUUACGCUAAUAACGCAUACGACCUACGGGUGAAAGCAGGGGAUCUUCGGACCUUGCGCGAUUGAAUGAUCCGAUGUCGGAUUAGCUAGUUGGCGGGGUAAAGGCACACCAAGGCGACGAUCCGUAGCUGGUCUGAGAGGAUGAUCAGCCACACUGGAACUGAGACACGGUCCAGACUCCUACGGGAGGCAGCAGUGGGGAAUAUUGGACAAUGGGCGCAAGCCUGAUCCAGCCAUACCGCGUGGGUGAAGAAGGCCUUCGGGUUGUAAAGCCCUUUUGUUGGGAAAGAAAAGCAGCAGGUUAAUACCCCGCUGUUCUGACGGUACCCAAAGAAUAAGCACCGGCUAACUUCGUG